This 488-nucleotide ribosomal RNA is filed under the name uncultured bacterium. Its description in RNAcentral is "bacterial SSU rRNA". It matches the Rfam family "Bacterial small subunit ribosomal RNA", at positions 28 to 507 of the family's 1533-position model. The record is from RNAcentral.
GAUGAACGCUAGCGGGAGGCUUAACACAUGCAAGUCGAGGGGCAGCAUAGGGUAGCAAUACUCUGAUGGCGACCGGCAAACGGGUGAGUAACGCGUAUGCAACCUACCCUGUACAGGGGGAUAACCCGGAGAAAUUCGGACUAAUAUCCCGUAAUAAUAUCCGGAGGCAUCUUUGGAUAUUUAAAGUCUCGACGGUACGGGAUGGGCAUGCGUAACAUUAGCUGGUUGGUAAGGUAACGGCUUACCAAGGCUAUGAUGUUUAGGGGUCCUGAGAGGGUGGUCCCCCACACUGGUACUGAGACACGGACCAGACUCCUACGGGAGGCAGCAGUGAGGAAUAUUGGUCAAUGGGCGCAAGCCUGAACCAGCCAUCCCGCGUGCAGGAAGACGGCCCUAUGGGUUGUAAACUGCUUUUCCAGGGAGAGAAACUUACGCACGUGUUGGCGUGACUGACGGUACCCUGGGAAUAAGCAUCGGCUAACUCCGUG